Bufo bufo (common toad) is the source of this 200-nucleotide long non-coding RNA. RefSeq lists it as uncharacterized. The transcript is spliced from 3 exons. The record is from RefSeq and is a predicted model, not a curated record. Lineage: Eukaryota; Metazoa; Chordata; Amphibia; Anura; Bufonidae.
UGGAGACCACAGAGUGGCAAGGUGACAUAGUGUGGAGAUGGCAGCAGCAUGAGGAGACCACAGAGUGGCAAGGUAACAUAGUUUGGAGGAGAAGGCAGCAUCAGGAGGCCACAGAGUGGUAAGGUAACAUAGUUUGGAGGUUGCAGCAGCAUCAGGAGGCCACAGAGUGGAAAGGUGACAUAGUGUGGAUAUGGCAGCAG